ACUAUUUUGGCAGAAAAGUGUAAUGAUUUUAGAAGUCAUGAAUGUAUAAUUAAAUUAUAUAGAUAGUA
RNAcentral lists this transfer RNA (68 nucleotides) under Hulodes caranea. RNAcentral's name for it is "tRNA-Leu". Lineage: Eukaryota; Metazoa; Arthropoda; Insecta; Lepidoptera; Erebidae. The record is from RNAcentral.